Lingula anatina is the source of this 234-nucleotide long non-coding RNA. Lineage: Eukaryota; Metazoa; Brachiopoda; Lingulata; Lingulida; Lingulidae. The record is from RefSeq and is a predicted model, not a curated record.
UGAAGGUAUUAUAGAAGAUGUAAUACUUUUGGGAGCACCUGUGUCUGGGCAUCCCAAACACUGGGAGCCUCUCUCCAGAGUUGUGGCAGGGAAAAUUAUUAAUGUCUACUCCAGAUCUGACUGGGUGUUGAAGUUUCUCUACAGAACAGCCUCUGUUCAGUUCAGUAUAGCAGGUCUGGCACCAGUGAAGUGGCACAAUAGAAGGUUGAUGAACUUUGACCUCACAGAUGUGGU